GGGGGCAUAAUUUAGUUGGUAAAAUAUUAAUUUUGCAUGUUAAAGACUUAGGUUCGAAUCCUAAUGCCUCCA
This 72-nucleotide transfer RNA is filed under the name Scopulariopsis brevicaulis (arsenic fungus). RNAcentral describes it as "tRNA-Ala". It matches the Rfam family "tRNA". Rfam says of the family: Transfer RNA (tRNA) molecules are approximately 80 nucleotides in length. Their secondary structure includes four short double-helical elements and three loops (D, anti-codon, and T loops). The record is from RNAcentral. RNAcentral also lists the same sequence under 1 other name. Lineage: Eukaryota; Fungi; Ascomycota; Sordariomycetes; Microascales; Microascaceae.